GGGCUUGUGGCUUAGUUUGGAUAAGGCGCUGGCCUCCGGUUAUAAUAAUGGGGGAGAGCCAGAGAUCGUGGGUUCGAAUCCCACCAAGCCCG
Molecule: transfer RNA, 92 nt
Filed under: uncultured marine crenarchaeote E37-7F
Lineage: Archaea; Thermoproteati; Candidatus Bathyarchaeota
Description: tRNA-Arg
Rfam family: tRNA
About the family: Transfer RNA (tRNA) molecules are approximately 80 nucleotides in length. Their secondary structure includes four short double-helical elements and three loops (D, anti-codon, and T loops). Further hydrogen bonds mediate the characteristic L-shaped molecular structure. tRNAs have two regions of fundamental functional importance: the anti-codon, which is responsible for specific mRNA codon recognition, and the 3' end, to which the tRNAs corresponding amino acid is attached (by aminoacyl-tRNA synthetases). tRNAs cope with the degeneracy of the genetic code in two manners: having more than one tRNA (with a specific anti-codon) for a particular amino acid; and 'wobble' base-pairing, i.e. permitting non-standard base-pairing at the 3rd anti-codon position.
Source: RNAcentral